AGAAUUUGCCCAUUGCAGACUCAAAGGACCAGACUGACAAUGCAAUUCCAUGCGAUACCAACAAUGAUAUUGCUGACUAUGCAACAGUUGAGGAAAAACCUGAAGAAACAGUAGUUGAAGAAAAACAUGAAGAACCUGCAAUUGAAAAGAAAUUUGAAGAAUCAACAGUUAUGGAGAAACCUGAAGAACCAGCAGUGGAAGAAAAACCUGAAGAACCAACAGUUAAAGAGGAACCUGAAAAAUCAGUGAUGGAAGAGAAACCUGAAGAACCAAUUGUUGAGGAGAAACUUGAAGAACCAACUGUUGAAGAGAAACCUGAAAAAUCACUGAUUGAAGAAACACCUGAAGAACCAAUAUGGGAAGAAACACCUAAAGAACUAGCAUUUGAAGAGAAACCAGAAGAACCAGCAGUUGAAGAGGAGAAACCUGAAAAGGUAACUCUUUUGGAAGAGGUGAGUAUCAAGCAUUAGCACAUAGUUUAUCCAUCAUGUUAUUUCUGUAUGUGCAUCGAUUCACAUCUGCUUAUCUAUUGAAAGUCUAAAUGAGACUUUAAAUUCUUCUUGCAGAAUAUACCAGCUGUAGAUUUCAACGACAAGACUGACCGUGAAAUUCCAUGCGAUACCAACAAUGAUAUUGCUGACUAUGCAACAGUUGAGGAAAAACCUGAAGAACCGGUAGUUGAAGAAAAACAUGAAGAACCUGCAAUUGAAAAGAAAUUUGAAGAAUCAACGGUUAUGGAGAAACCUGAAAAACCAGUGGUUAAGGUACAACCUGAAGAACCAGCAGUGGAAGAAAAAGUUGAAGAACCAACAGUUAAUGAGGAACCUGAAAAAUCAGCGAUGGAAGAGAACCCUGAAGAAUCAAUUGUUGAGGAGAAACUUGAAGAACCAACUGUUGAAGAGAAACCUGAAAAAUCACUGAUUGAAGAAACACCUGAAGAACCAAUAUGGAAAGAAACACCUAAAGAACUAGCAUUUGAAGAGCAACCAGAAGAACCAGCAGUUGAAGAGGAGAAACCUGAAAAGGUAUCUCUUUUGGAAGAGGUGAGUAUCAAGCAUUAUCACAUAGUUUAUCCAUCCUGUUAUUUCUGUAUGUGCGACGAUUCACAUCUGCUUAUCUAUUGAAAGACUAAAUGAGACUUUAAAUUCUUCUUGCAGAAUAUGCCAGCUGUAGAUUUCAACGACAAGACUGACUGUGAAAUUCCAUGCAAUACCAACAAUGAUGUUGCUGAAUAUGUAGCAAUUGAGGAAAACCUUGAAGAACCAGCAGUUGAAGAAAAACAUGAAGAACCAACAGUUGAGGAGAAACCUGAAGAACUAGCAGUUGAAGAGAAACCCGAAAAACCAACAAUUGAGGAGAAACAUGAAGAACCAAUAGUUGAGAAGAAACCUGAAGAACCAGUAGUUGAGGAGAAACCAGAAGAACCACUAAUUGAAGAGGAGAAAUCUGAAAGGGUAACUUUCCUAGAAAAGGUGAGGAUCAAGCAUUGUCAAAAGGUUUAUCCAUCUUAUUAGUUGUGUAUGUGCGACGAUUCACAUCUGCUUACUUAUUGAAAGACUAAGUGAAACUUCAAAAUUCUUGCAGAGUAUGCUAGUUGUAGACUCGAACGACAAGACUGACAGUGAAAUUCCAUGCAAUACCAACAAAGAUGCUGCCCACUUUCCCGAAGUUGAGGCAAACCCUGAAGAACCAGCAGUUGAAGGAAAACCUAAAGAACCCGUUGAUGAAGAGAAACCAGAUGUACCAGUGGUUGAGAAACCUGAAAAACAAAUGGUUGAGGAGAAACUUGAAGAACCAAUGAUUGAGGAGAAAUCUGACGAACUAGUCGAGGAGAAAUCUCAACAACCAGCGGCUGAAAAGAAACCUGAAGAACCAGCAGCUAAAGAAUCACUUAAAGAGCUAGCAGGGGAGGAAACAACUGAAGAACUAGCACUUGAAGAGAAACUUAGAGAACCAACAGUUGAAGAACUAGUUCUUGAAGAUAAACCUGAAAACCCAGAAAAUGAAGAGGAUAAACUUGAAACAGUAACUCUCCAGGAAAAGGUAAGAAACAAGCAGUGUCACAGAGUUUAUCCAUCCUAUUAGCUCUACAUAUGCAAUGAAUUCACAUCUGUUUAUCCACUGAAAGACUAAGUGAAACUUUAAAUUUUUCUUGCAGAAUUUACCAAUUGCAGACUCAAACGACAAGACUGACAAUGCAACUCCCUGCAAUAACAACAAUGAUAUUGCUGACUCUGCAGCAGUUAAGGAAAAAACUGAAGAACCAGUAGUUGAGGAAAAACAUGAAGAACCGGCAACUGAAGAGAAAUCUGAAGAAUCAGAAUUUAUGAAAAAAACUGAAGAACCAGCGGUUGAGGUAAAACCUGAAGAACCAUCAGUGGAAGAGAAGCCUGAAGAACCAGCGGUUAGGAAAAAUCCUGAAGAACCAGCAGUUAAUGAGGAACCUGCAAAAUCAGCAACGGAAGAGAAACCUGAAGAACCAAUUGCUGAGGAGAAACUUGAAGAACCAACUCUUAAAGAGAAACCUGGAAAACCAGUAAUUGAAGAAACACCUGAAGAACCAACACUGGAAGUAACACCUAAAGAACAAGCAGAGAAACCUGAAGAACCAGUUGAAGAGGAAAAAACUGACAAGGUAACUCUUUUGGAAAAGGUGAGCAUCAAACACUGUCACAAAUUUUUGCCAUCAUAUUAGUUCUGUAUGUGCAACAAUUCACAUCUAAUUAUCCAUUGAAAGACUAAGUGAAACUUUAAUUCUUCUUGCAGAAUAUACCAGUUGUAGAUUUCAAUGAUACGACUGACAGUGAAAUUCCAUGCAAUACCAACGACGAUGUUGCUGAAGACGUAGCAGUUGAGGAAAACCUUGAAGAACCAUCAGUUGAGGAGAAACCUGAAGAAUUAGCGGUUGAAGAGAAACCUGAAAAACCAGCAAUUGAGGAGAAACGUGAAGAACCAAUAAUUGAGAAGAAACCUAAAGAACCAGCAGUUGAGGAGAAACCUGAAGAACAAACCGUUGAAGAGAGACUUGAAGAACCAACAAUUGAAGAUGAGAAACUUGAAGAACCAACAAAUGAAGAUGAGAAACUUGAAAGGGUAACUCUCCUAGGAAAGGUGAGGAUCUAGCACUGUCACAAAGUUUGUCC
This 3143-nucleotide long non-coding RNA is filed under the name Nicotiana tabacum (common tobacco). RNAcentral's name for it is "long non-coding RNA (NTAB_LNC000707)". The record is from RNAcentral. Lineage: Eukaryota; Viridiplantae; Streptophyta; Magnoliopsida; Solanales; Solanaceae.